RNAcentral lists this ribosomal RNA (460 nucleotides) under uncultured bacterium. RNAcentral describes it as "partial 16S ribosomal RNA". It matches the Rfam family "Bacterial small subunit ribosomal RNA", at positions 338 to 795 of the family's 1533-position model. The record is from RNAcentral.
CCUACGGGUGGCAGCAGUGAGGAAUAUUGGUCCAUGGGCGCGAGCCUGAACCAGCCAAGUAGCGUGAAGGAUUACUGCCCUACGGGUUGUCCACUUCUUUUAUAAAGGAAUAAAGUGAGGCACGUGUGCCUUUUUGUAUGUACUUUAUGAAUAAGGAUCGGCUAACUCCGUGCCAGCAGCCGCGGUAAUAAGGAGGAUCAGAUCGUGAUCCGGAUUUAUUGGGUUUAAAGGGAGCGUAGAUGGGGUGUUAAGUCAGUUUUUAAAGUUUGUCGCUCAACCGUAAAAUUGAAAUUGGUACUUGCAGUCUUGAGUACAGUUGAGGUAGGCGGAAUUCGUGGUGUAGCGGUGAAAUGCGUAGAUAUUAGGAGGAACACCAGUGGCGAAGGCGGCCUGCUGGGCUUUUACUGACGCUGAGGCUCGAAAGUGUGGGGAGCAAACAGGAUUAGAUACCCGUGUAGUC